GGUAUGCAGUGAGGCGGCCGCCUCUUUUAUCCAUGUGGGACGGACUGUCAGCAUAAAAGUAUAAGGUCCGCCGCCUCCGGGGCGGUGUCUUCUGACGUGAAGAACCUAAAAAUUCAUCGGUCACUGAACCAUUCCCAUCCUGGUAUGAAAAUCAUACCUUAACUCCGUCCCCUUUUCGCUUCCAAUCAAAACCCUAGCCACCACAAAAUAGUUGAUAAUGCUCUAGUUCUUAUAUUGCUACUUUCUUAAAAAUGGAACCAAGCUAAUAAUUUGCAUCGAUGGAGACAUUUUGAAAUCUAGGGUUACCUUUCUAUCAUUUUUCUAUUAGGGGGAGGGGUUCUUUUGAUCAAGAGAACGACCCUUUGAUCUGGGGAUAGAGAGAGAGAGAGAGAGAGGAGAAAAUGAAGGAAUUGAUAGGGAGUCCAGGAACUGUGAGUGGGCUAGUACUGAGAAUAGGGCAAUGUGCAUUUGCCGCUGCUUCUAUUGGAAUUAUGGCCUCUGCCAAUGGCUUCUCUCGCUACACCGCUUUCUG
This 532-nucleotide unclassified non-coding RNA is filed under the name Hevea brasiliensis (rubber tree). Lineage: Eukaryota; Viridiplantae; Streptophyta; Magnoliopsida; Malpighiales; Euphorbiaceae. The record is from RNAcentral.